RNAcentral lists this ribosomal RNA (293 nucleotides) under uncultured bacterium. Its description in RNAcentral is "partial 16S ribosomal RNA". It matches the Rfam family "Bacterial small subunit ribosomal RNA", at positions 334 to 618 of the family's 1533-position model. The record is from RNAcentral.
UUUGCCUACGGGGGGCAGCAGUUAGGAAUAUUCGUCAAUGGGGGAAACCCUGACCGAGCAAUGCCGCGUGAACGAUGACGGUCCUCUGGAUUGUAAAGUUCUGUUGUUUGGGAAGAACGGCUCUAAUAGGAAAUGAUUACAGAUUGACUGUACCUUUCAAGAAAGCCACGGCUAACUACGUGCCAGCAGCCGCGGUAAUGCGUAGGUGGCGAGCGUUAUCCGGAUUUAUUGGGCGUAAAGCGUCCGCAGCCGGUUUAUUAAGUAUAGAAUAAAACUUCGGGGCUCAACCCCGU